GCACCCAUCGUCUAGAGGUUAGGACACAGGGUUUUCAUCCCUGCAACCGGGGUUCAAUUCCCCGUGGGUGUA
This 72-nucleotide transfer RNA is filed under the name Chitinispirillales bacterium. RNAcentral describes it as "tRNA-Glu". It matches the Rfam family "tRNA". From Rfam's summary of the family: Transfer RNA (tRNA) molecules are approximately 80 nucleotides in length. The record is from RNAcentral. Lineage: Bacteria; Pseudomonadati; Fibrobacterota; Chitinispirillia; Chitinispirillales.